GGACUUAUAGCUUAAUUGGAUAGAGCACCUGACUACGGAUCAGGAGGUUGGGGGUUCGACUCCCUCUAAGUCCA
Molecule: transfer RNA, 74 nt
Filed under: Arcticibacter pallidicorallinus
Lineage: Bacteria; Pseudomonadati; Bacteroidota; Sphingobacteriia; Sphingobacteriales; Sphingobacteriaceae
Rfam family: tRNA
About the family: Transfer RNA (tRNA) molecules are approximately 80 nucleotides in length.
Source: Rfam by way of RNAcentral